UCUCACAAUGUCAGGGAAGUUUGUGCAGGAAGGUAAUAUGCAAUUUCUGCUCUGCUAUAGGGCUGGCUCCUUGGGAACCAGUUUUAAUAUCCCUUUUUAAAUAUACCCUCAGAAUCACAAAAUAAUUAAGCAAAAUAAUUUGUUGCUCUUGGGGGUUAUAGCGAUAAUUCUCUUGAGUCGUUUUUCCACUUAGCUUCUUUGAUUGACUCCAAAUACUACAGCACCACACCCUUCUAGACUGGUGGAUGCACAGCUCCACUUCUUUGCAGGGAGGACGCACAACAGCAGAAUAUCCGUGGCCCAACUUUCUGGAGUAUCAGUAUUACUACAAGAUUUGGAAGAAGCAAAGUUAGGUCAUUUCCAAGGUUCUCCGCCACCAACUUCCAUAACCAUCAGGAUAUUCUACAACUUCUGCAAGAAUAACAAUUUUACCUUACACUGUACUUAUCUCAUGUGGUUUAAAACAUCCAGAAAUCAUUGAUAAACACACCCUGCCCAAACUAAAGCAUGGUGGUGUCACAUUAGAACACCCUCAUCUCUGAAGAUCUUUGCAUUACGGAACUCUACCUUGGUCC
Long non-coding RNA from Diceros bicornis minor, 575 nucleotides. RefSeq lists it as uncharacterized. The record is from RefSeq and is a predicted model, not a curated record. Lineage: Eukaryota; Metazoa; Chordata; Mammalia; Perissodactyla; Rhinocerotidae. The transcript has 3 exons.